UCUCCACGCUUAAUUUCUGUAAAACCAAGC
RNAcentral lists this non-coding RNA (30 nucleotides) under Mus musculus (house mouse). The record is from RNAcentral. Lineage: Eukaryota; Metazoa; Chordata; Mammalia; Rodentia; Muridae.